Molecule: long non-coding RNA, 389 nt
Organism: Condylura cristata (star-nosed mole)
Lineage: Eukaryota; Metazoa; Chordata; Mammalia; Eulipotyphla; Talpidae
Exons: 3
Source: RefSeq, a predicted model, not a curated record
CCGAAUUCAGAAAAGCUCCAAAAUACUUGACACAUUUCUUCCAAGGCGCCAGUGGAAUUAGCGAAUGAUUCAGCAAAUGUGUUUUAUGAUUCCUGGAAACAAGCAGAGAAUGACUGCAAGCUGAAACUGAAAGACCCUGAUGUAGUUUUAUGGCAAUUAGAUGGGGGAUAAAUGAAGCUGGAGUGGGCUCAAGGCUCAACUAAGUUAAAGAAGAGGCAUUUAAGAGACAAUUUUGCUGAUAACAGAGAAGGAACAUGACAAAGGAAAAUACCGAAGUGGAGCAAGAAAGAAGGCGAGGAAGCUGGCUGCUGUAAGAAUUCACACCUCAGCCGGAAGGAGCUGCUGCAGGAAGGCUCCCCUGCCAUUUUAUAGGUCUUCACUUGAACUGA